RNAcentral lists this ribosomal RNA (454 nucleotides) under Microphallus primas. RNAcentral describes it as "SSU rRNA". It matches the Rfam family "Eukaryotic small subunit ribosomal RNA", at positions 530 to 915 of the family's 1831-position model. Lineage: Eukaryota; Metazoa; Platyhelminthes; Trematoda; Plagiorchiida; Microphallidae. The record is from RNAcentral.
UCCUUUAACGAGGAACAACUGGAGGGCAAGUCUGGUGCCAGCAGCCGCGGUAACUCCAGCUCCAGAAGCGUAUAUUAAAGUUGUUGCAGUUAAAAAGCUCGUAGUUGGAUCUGGGUCGCAUGGCUACGGGCCGUAGCUUGUAAUCCUGGCUUGGCUACGGUUGGGUCGGGUUUGUGAGUCGGUUUCGUGGCUGUGUAGCCUUUCUGCUGUGUCUGUUUCGACAGGUGCCGAUGGUUUUACCGUUGGCAUGCUUCCUGAUGCCUUUAACCGGGUGUCGGAGGCGGACGGCAUGUUUACUUUGAACAAAUUUGAGUGCUCAAAGCAGGCUUAUGCCUGAAAAUUCUUGCAUGGAAUAAUGGAAUAGGACUUCGGUUCUAUUUUGUUGGUUUUCGGAUCCGAAGUAAUGGUUAAGAGGGACAGACGGGGGCAUUUGUAUGGCGGUGUUAGAGGUGAA